CUAAAAACGCGGAAGAAUGAAAUGAGUUAUCAUAUAUAAGCCCUGACUUUUACUUCUGUACCUCUCACCAAGUAAUAGUGGUUUUCUAAUCAAAAUGCUAUGGAAAGAAGAAUCAUAAGAAUUAGAUAUUAGUUAAACUUAUCAGGGCAUACUUUUAUUGAAUGAAUGGGUUUUAGAUUAGACAAUGUUUUGCACAUUUUAGAGCCUGUAAGUUUUCUGAUGAUGAAAGUAAAAUGAACUUACAUGUUAAUAUGUAAAUUUUUCCUUUUCAUUAUUAUCCUAGAGUAACAGCAACAUGGAAGAAAGUCUGUCACAUAUGGAAUACUUUUUAACUAUUUAAUGCAGAUGAAAUGUAAUUUUUCAUCUCUCCAGCAACUUUGUCGUUUAUCUGAAAAUGACUUUUUUGACCUACUGAUGCUACUUAAUCAUUUCUACUACAGAAAAUCCUACCUAGAAGAGCUGGCAUUAACUUUGGAACAAAAGAGCCCUAAUGCACUCAAGACUCUCAGAUCUCGCACCUGCUCUCCAACUAAAGAAGAAAACCGAAGCGAAGCUAAUAUCCUGAAUUUUUGUAGCAAGAUAUUUUCAGAUUUCUUUAUGGAGGCUUAUUACAGUUUGCAAAUCAAUCUGAAAAAAUGCUCCAGGGAAAAAGGCUCCCUUUUUAAAAAUACAGUAAAAGCAUCAUAAAAUCAAUGGAGAGGGUAUGAGAACAUUCAUUUUCUGUGAUUCGAGUUUUUGUAUUUGGGCGGAAUGUGAUUCAGACCACCGUGCUGCAAAACAGAGGGAGCCGCUAAAUUUGUACGUGUUGGGCUGGGGAUUUAGCUCAGCGGCAAAAGCGCCUGCCUGGCAAGCGCAAGGUCAUGACUUCGGUUCCGGGUACCGGAGAAAAAC
Molecule: long non-coding RNA, 891 nt
Filed under: Chinchilla lanigera (long-tailed chinchilla)
Lineage: Eukaryota; Metazoa; Chordata; Mammalia; Rodentia; Chinchillidae
Description: lncRNA (ENSCLAG00000025552.1)
Source: RNAcentral